RNAcentral lists this ribosomal RNA (622 nucleotides) under uncultured bacterium. RNAcentral's name for it is "bacterial SSU rRNA". It matches the Rfam family "Bacterial small subunit ribosomal RNA", at positions 704 to 1328 of the family's 1533-position model. The record is from RNAcentral.
GAACACCAGUGGCGAAGGCGGCUCUCUGGACUGUAACUGACGCUGAGGCGCGAAAGCGUGGGUAGCGAACAGGAUUAGAUACCCUGGUAGUCCACGCCGUAAACGAUGAGUGCUAGGUGUUGGGGGUCGAACCUCAGUGCCGCAGUUAACACAUUAAGCACUCCGCCUGGGGAGUACGACCGCAAGGUUGAAACUCAAAGGAAUUGACGGGGGCCCGCACAAGCAGCGGAGCAUGUGGUUUAAUUCGAAGCAACGCGAAGAACCUUACCAGGACUUGACAUCAUCUGACAACCGUAGAGAUACGGCUUUCCCUUCGGGGACAGAUAGACAGGUGGUGCAUGGUUGUCGUCAGCUCGUGUCGUGAGAUGUUGGGUUAAGUCCCGCAACGAGCGCAACCCCUGUAUUUAGUUGCCAUCAGGUCAUGCUGGGCACUCUAGAUAAACUGCCGUAGAUAAUACGGAGGAAGGUGGGGAUGACGUCAAAUCAUCAUGCCCCUUAUGUCCUGGGCUACACACGUGCUACAAUGGUCUGUACAAAGGGUAGCCAAGCCGCAAGGUGGAGCCAAUCCCAUAAAGCAGAUCCCAGUUCGGAUUGCAGGCUGCAACUCGCCUGCAUGAAGUCG